UCCGAGUUGACCCCGGCAGUCUCCCAUGAGUCCCCACCAUUACGUGCUGGCAACAUGGAACGAGGGUUGCGCUCGUUGCGGGACUUAACCCAACACCUCACGACACGAGCUGACGACAGCCAUGCACCACCUGUAUACGGCCCCGAAGGACACCAUAUCUCUAUGGCUUUUCCGUAUAUUUCAAGCCCAGGUAAGGUUCCUCGCGUUGCGUCGAAUUAAACCACAUGCUCCGCUGCUUGUGCGGGCCCCCGUCAAUUCCUUUGAGUUUUAGCCUUGCGGCCGUACUCCCCAGGCGGGGCACUUAAUGCGUUAGCUUCGGCACGGAGAACGUGGAAUGUCCCCCACACCUAGUGCCCACCGUUUACGGCGUGGACUAC
RNAcentral lists this unclassified non-coding RNA (377 nucleotides) under uncultured Actinomycetes bacterium. RNAcentral's name for it is "uncultured actinobacterium contains 16S-23S intergenic spacer region". Lineage: Bacteria; Bacillati; Actinomycetota; Actinomycetes. The record is from RNAcentral.